GUUUUGAAGCGCAGGUCACAGGUCACUGGUUCCUACACAGCAGGUGGGACUGUCUGUCUGUGCACUUUUUUCCUAAGCUGCUGAAAUUUCUCCGAGGUCGAUUGGUCACAGCAACCGAUGCUUCCUGCAUGACCAAAGCACAACUUACAGUGGGUCAGAGAAACCAGGCCAGUGGCUGUUCUCAUAGCCCAAACUAAAGCACAAAGAUGACUGGAAUUAAACAAGCCCAACUCCCCAACUAUGGGACACGCAGAUGUCUGCACCCCUGUUGACAGCAUGAGGCUCAUAUCACUUAUGUUCUGGCUGUGGCUAAUGGUAAAUGCUCCCCUGUCACCAGCACAGCCAUACAUAGACACUCAUGAGGAAUGUCUGAAAGCCACAAGCCCUACCCCAAGCACAGCACCAUUUGCUUCUUCCCAUUAACACACACUCAAGAAUGAAAACUACACACACACACACACACACACACACACACACACACACACAGAAAACUGAGUAUGUAUUGUAGAAAUGUAGAAGAAAAAAUAAAAAUAUUUUUUCAAAUGUAAUUACUUUUAAUAUAUGCUCGUGGAAGGUCUAAUACAAUGUAUGCUGUCUCCGUAAUUUUUGCUGUAAAUAACUGGAGACAGUGAAUACACUGGUUUUUCUAUGUCUCUGUUUAAGCAUAAGACUUUGUAACAAUUUUUUAGAGGG
This 693-nucleotide long non-coding RNA is filed under the name Rattus norvegicus (Norway rat). RNAcentral's name for it is "long non-coding RNA NONRATT001582". Lineage: Eukaryota; Metazoa; Chordata; Mammalia; Rodentia; Muridae. The record is from RNAcentral.